Molecule: transfer RNA, 72 nt
Filed under: Caudoviricetes sp.
Lineage: Duplodnaviria; Heunggongvirae; Uroviricota; Caudoviricetes
Description: tRNA-Arg
Rfam family: tRNA
About the family: Transfer RNA (tRNA) molecules are approximately 80 nucleotides in length. Their secondary structure includes four short double-helical elements and three loops (D, anti-codon, and T loops).
Source: RNAcentral
GGCCAUGUAGUUCAACGGACAGAACGGGGGUUUCCUAAACCCCAAAUCAGGGUUCGAUUCCCUGCGCGGCCA